Molecule: non-coding RNA, 98 nt
Organism: Aromia moschata
Lineage: Eukaryota; Metazoa; Arthropoda; Insecta; Coleoptera; Cerambycidae
Source: the annotation of a GenBank genome assembly
GCGGCGAUAGCUCAGUGGAUAAAGCGCCAGGUGAGUAGAUGGCGAUUACUCCAUAUAGAGAGCUAUUAUCCACGCGGGUUCGAAUCCCGCCUGUGGCA